AGCGAACGCUGGCGGCAGGCUUAACACAUGCAAGUCGAGCGGGCAUCCUUGUGGUGUCAGCGGCAGACGGGUGAGUAACGCGUGGGAACGUGCCCUUCGGUUCGGAAUAACUCAGGGAAACUUGAGCUAAUACCGGAUACGUGCGAGAGCAGAAAGGUUUAUCUGCCGAAGGAUCGGCCCGCGUCUGAUUAGCUAGUUGGUGAGGUUAUGGCUCACCAAGGCGACGAUCAGUAGCUGGUCUGAGAGGAUGAUCAGCCACACUGGGACUGAGACACAGCCCAGACUCCUACGGGAGGCAGCAGUGGGGAAUAUUGGACAAUGGGGGCAACCCUGAUCCAGCCAUGCCGCGUGAGUGAUGACGGCCUUAGGGUUGUAAAGCUCUUUUCUCCGGGACGAUAAUGACGGUACCGGAGGAAUAAGCCCCGGCUAACUUCGUG
This 437-nucleotide ribosomal RNA is filed under the name uncultured bacterium. Its description in RNAcentral is "partial 16S ribosomal RNA". It matches the Rfam family "Bacterial small subunit ribosomal RNA", at positions 29 to 507 of the family's 1533-position model. The record is from RNAcentral.